Molecule: RNA transcript, 1086 nt
Organism: Eucalyptus grandis
Lineage: Eukaryota; Viridiplantae; Streptophyta; Magnoliopsida; Myrtales; Myrtaceae
Gene name: transcription factor bHLH162
Exons: 5
Source: RefSeq, a predicted model, not a curated record
CUGAAAAAAGGCAACUGCACAGGAACUAUGCAGUCGUAGCCACAUAUAAUGUUCAUAGCAUGUCUCUGAAAAAGACUUAGUGUUUCUGUUGUUUAUGGUGUUGCUGCUGUUCUUGUUGAGCUGGUGCGGGAAUACUUUUGAUGGAGAACGGCCCUAGCUCUUCAAAAAGUGACCGGAAAUUGAUCGAGAGAAACCGGCGACAUCACAUGAAGGCCCUCUAUUCCCAGCUCAAUUCUCUUGUUCACCAUCAUAGCCCGACGGAGGUGACAUCUCUUCCGGAUCAACUUCAUGAAGCAACUAAUUACAUCAAGAAGCUGCAGAUUAACUUGGAGAAGAUGAAGGAAAAGAAAGAGAGCUUGUUAGGGAUCGCAAAGAUGAACACAAGCAUGAACAAUGGGAUGGAUGUAGCCUCAAAUUCACCAGAAAUUGAGAUUCACCAAAGUGGUUCGUCUUUACAGGUCAUUCUCAUUACUGGGUUGGAUCAUCAGUUCAUGUUCAAUCACGUCAUCAGUCUGCUUCAUGAAGAUGGGGUCAAGAUCUUAAACGCGAGCUUUUCCGUUCUGGAAGACAAAGCAUUCCACUCUAUUCAUUGUGAGGUCGGGGACUGUGCACCAAGUCUUGAUUCUGCAAGAAUAUAUGAGAGAUUAAGGAAAUGUGUCCAAGAUAAUGCACAGAGACAACUUUUUCAGACACUUGAUUUCUGAAGAGACUAUUGGCCCUCGAGAUGUACCACAAGAAGUAUAUGCACGCUCAUAGAGCCAGGAUUCAAGAAGGUUGCUGCAUUGGAUGAGGUACCAUCAGCAGAACCCAGAAAGGAGAAGUUAUGCGUUGGAUUAGAAGCUGCUCUGUCAUCUGCUUCUUCUAUAAUAGAUUUGUUGCAAAAUCAGAUGAUAUAUCAUGGACGACAGCCCUGAUGUUAUAAGAUGAUAUUUUUCAAGAUGUAGAAUUUUCCUUGCUGUAACAGCGUGAGAACCGAGUUGACAAUCAUCACUUGAUCGUUCGUGUGUGUAGAAGCGGAAUUCCAUGUUCUACUUAUUCGAACCCUGAUUUUCCAUGGCUUUGGCUCCAAUGUGAGAUCUGAAAUCA